CAGUCGCCGCGGGAAUACGUAGGGUGCAGGCGUUAAUCGGAAUUACUGGGCGUAAAGCGUGCGCGGGCGGUUUGUUAAGACAGGUGUGAAAUCCCCGGGCUCAACCUGGGAACUGCAUUUGUGACUGGCAGGCUAGAGCAUGGCAGAGGGGGGUGGAAUUCCGCGUGUAGCAGUGAAAUGCGUAGAUAUGCGGAGGAACACCGAUGGCGAAGGCGGCAACCUGGCUCAUUACUGACGCUGAGGCGCGAAAGCGUGGGGAGCAAACAGGAUUAGAUACCCCGGUAGUCCCUGUCUCUUAUAC
RNAcentral lists this ribosomal RNA (301 nucleotides) under uncultured bacterium. Its description in RNAcentral is "partial 16S ribosomal RNA". It matches the Rfam family "Bacterial small subunit ribosomal RNA", at positions 509 to 807 of the family's 1533-position model. The record is from RNAcentral.